GGUAAACGCUGGCGGCGUGCCUAAAACAUGCAAGUCGAACGGUGUCCUUCGGGCGACAGUGGCAGACGGCUGAGUAACGCGUGGGUGACGUACCUGCUUGUGGGGAAGUAACUGCCCGAAAGGGUGGCUAAUACCGCAUACGCCCGCUGAUUCGGUUUCAGUGGGGAAAGCUUCGCAAGGAGUGCAGAUGGAGCGGCCCGCGUCCGAUUAGCUGGUUGGUGGGGUAACGGCCUACCAAGGCGACGAUCGGUAGCUGGUCUCAGAGGAUGAUCAGCCAGACUGGGACUGAGACACGGCCCAGACUCCUACGGGAGGCAGCAGUGGGGAAUUGUUCGCAAUGGGCGCAAGCCUGACGACGCAACGCCGCGUGGAGGAUGAAGACCUCGGUCGUAACU
Molecule: ribosomal RNA, 395 nt
Filed under: uncultured bacterium
Lineage: Bacteria
Description: bacterial SSU rRNA
Rfam family: Bacterial small subunit ribosomal RNA
Source: RNAcentral